GAUCAUAUUUCCUAGACUGUUUAAUUAUAACUACUUGAUGACCCCAAUCGAUUAGGGGUCACUUGACUGUGACCUUGACCUACUGACCUACUUUCUUGUUUUUAGCUCACCUGAGCACGAAGUGCUCAAAGGUGAGCUUUAGUGAUCGCCCUGUGUCCGUCGUCCGUCGUCCGUCCGUCCGUCCGUCCGUCCGUCCGUCCGUCCGUCGUCAACAAUUUGACUGUUAACACUCUAGAGGUCACAUUUUUGGCCCAAUCUUAAUGAAACUUGGUCAGAAUGUUACCCUCAAUAAAAUCUUGGACGAGUUCGAUAUUGGGUCAUCUGGGAUCAAAAACUAGGUCAUCAGGUCAAAUCAAAGGAAAAGCUUGUUAACACUCUAGAGGUCACAUUUUUGGCCCAAUCUUAAUGAAACUUGGUCAGAAUGUUACCCUCAAUAAAAUCUUGGACGAGU
Molecule: long non-coding RNA, 451 nt
Organism: Mercenaria mercenaria
Lineage: Eukaryota; Metazoa; Mollusca; Bivalvia; Venerida; Veneridae
Exons: 2
Source: RefSeq, a predicted model, not a curated record